Physcomitrium patens is the source of this 2492-nucleotide RNA transcript. It is a transcript of the gene named protease Do-like 9, with no coding region annotated. NCBI's taxonomy places the organism in Eukaryota, Viridiplantae, Streptophyta, Bryopsida, Funariales, Funariaceae. The record is from RefSeq and is a predicted model, not a curated record.
GCGUCCAGCUCCACGCCAUGAGGACGCCGCACCACAGCACCGCCGUCCCUCUGUCCCUCGUCGCCCCCUUCUCUCCUGCUCCUGCUUGCGCCCUUCUCUAGCAUGCUCAGCUAAUUCGUUUCCUUCCUCUUACCUAUUCCAGGAGCCAUGGAGCCACCUCCUCGCAAGCGGGGGCGCCCGCUCAAGCAUCCCAAAGCCGCCCCAAGCGAUUCUCUCAAGUCACGCGUCGCAUCGGAUUUGAACGAGUACAAUUCUCUCUCUCCUUCCACUCCCGUCCCUGUGGACUUGGCGGACCCUGCCGUGUCGCCUGUCGAUCCUCGGUCGGGCCAGCGUGGGAGGAAGAAGCCCGUGGCGGAGAAGGUAGAAGGGCUGGCUCCUAUCACGCCCGACGGAGGAGGAGGAAGCUCCAGCGAUCGGGAGCUUUCCAAGUCUGUGGGAGACGACAGCGAGUUGCCUGCGGAGGGAGUAGCCAGAAAGAGGAAUAAGAAGUCGUCCCUGGGAAACGCUGACGACAUCAAGGGGCAUGCUCCAUCGUUGGAGGACGCAACGGGCGGAAGAGACGACGACUUGAAAGAUGCUCCGUUCAUGGAUGCUGUGGUGAAAGUGUUUUGCGUGCACACGGAGCCCAAUUUCUCGCUUCCAUGGCAGAGGAAACGGCAAUUCAGCUCCAACAGCAGCGGUUUUAUCAUCAAAGGCCGUCGGGUUUUGACGAACGCGCACUCAGUGGAGCACCAUACGCAGGUGAAGGUGAAGAAACGGGGAUCGGAUACAAAGUACUUGGCCACAGUGCUUGCGAUUGGAACCGAAUGCGAUAUAGCUAUGCUGACCGUCAGCAACGACGAGUUUUGGGAGGAUGUGACGCCGGUGAACUUUGGGUCUUUGCCUCGUCUGCAAGACGGGGUGACGGUGGUGGGGUAUCCCAUUGGCGGUGACACUAUCUCGGUGACAAGCGGCGUGGUGUCACGCAUCGAAGUCACGUCAUAUGUGCAUGGCGCAACAGAGUUGCUGGGCGUGCAGAUUGAUGCUGCUAUAAAUGCUGGGAACUCUGGAGGCCCUGCUUUCAACGACAGAGGUGAAUGCGUGGGAAUCGCUUUUCAGUCGCUGAAGCACGAGGAUGCUGAGAACAUCGGAUACGUUAUUCCCACCCCGGUCAUUGAUCACUUUAUUACGGAUUACGUCCGCAACAACGACUACACAGGGUUUCCGAUUUUGGGUAUCGAAUGGCAAAAGAUGGAAAACCCUGAUCUUCGGAAGGCGCUGGGAAUGAAGAGCACCCAGAAAGGUGUUCGCAUACGACGCGUGGAGCCCACUGCACCUGCAUUCGCACAGUUGCGAGCUUCAGACAUCCUGAUGAGUUUCGAUGGCAUAGAUAUUGCAAACGACGGCACCGUUCCCUUCAGGCACGGUGAACGAAUCGGGUUCAGUUAUUUGGUAUCGAAGAAAUACAGCGGCGAGUGUGCCAAGGUGAAGAUUUUGAGGGAUGGGAAGUCGAAGGAGUUUGAUAUCGAUCUGGUGAACCACAAACGGCUGGUACCUGCGCACAUCAAGGGGAAGCCACCGUCGUACUACAUACUGGCAGGCAUCGUGUUUGCGGCCAUCUCCGUGCCUUAUCUUCGCUCAGAGAAAAAGUGUUUGUUGAUCGGAGGACGUGGAGUUGAAUUUGGGGGUGGAUUUAAUCUUCUGGAUGUGAAAUUUGAACUGGUAUGGGAAGGACUACGAUUAUGACGCUCCAGUGAAGCUGCUGGACAAGCUGCUACAUUCGAUGUCUCAGUCUGAAGAUGAGCAGCUCGUCGUCGUGUCCCAGGUGCUGGUGGCGGAUAUCAACAUAGGUUAUGAAGAUAUUGUGAACACGCAGGUUGUGGCUUUCAAUGACACUCCUGUGAGAAAUCUGAAGCAUUUGGCAAACUUGGUGGAGAAGUGCACGGACCCAUUUCUGCGGUUCGGUCUUGAUUACCAGCAGAUUGUGAUUCUGGAGACCCAGACAGCCAAGGCUGCUACCCCGGAGAUCCUUGCUACCCAUUGUAUACCUUCAGCAAUGUCUCAUGACUUGAAAGUGGAGUGUUGAGGGGGUCUCAGGUGGUAGGUACUUGUUCAAAAGAAUCAUCUCCUGCAUCGGAAGGGCCGAAAUUGAAGGAUGGGUUACUGUUAGCCCUCAGUAUUUUGUAGCGGUGGUUGUGAUGAGUGUUGUACGUCAUCUGCUGUGUGUGAACUUAUUAUAUUUUGGUUUAGGAUGUAGGGUUUAGGGUCAGCAUUUGUUUCCCACGUCGUGAUAAUUAUGCCUCCAGACUGCCGCAUUAUCAAGGGUUAAUUGUUACUAGUUAUUGCAUCUUUACAAAGCUGCCACACUAAUUAGCAACCGCACUUCUAGUUGCAAUGGGCUACUGUGGAUUAAAAUUGUGAAGUUAAGCAAUCAGACAAUGUCUAUACAGUAAAAUUUCCACAAUUCAAGUUGCUGUAUAGCAGUAAUUAAUGUAGAAGUAAUUGUUGAUGUA